Molecule: long non-coding RNA, 301 nt
Filed under: Androctonus crassicauda
Lineage: Eukaryota; Metazoa; Arthropoda; Arachnida; Scorpiones; Buthidae
Source: RNAcentral
AUGAAAUUGCAAAAAAGAUUUUAAGCAAAAGAAUAAUUAUCAUAAAUAGGGACAUACCAUACUUUUCAACGAGAAUGGCAAUCGUAGACCCAGAUAACGUGCCACAGUUGAAUUUCCUCAGAAAGCAGAAAUUCCAAUAUUUAAUGGAAUUUAACAUACUUCACGUAAAGUAUAGUGUUUUAGAGUACUAUGACGAAGAACAUUUCGACUUAAACGAGAAAAUCAAAACCCAGAUGGCAAUAUUCCCUUCACUUCCGGGAAUAAAAGUUGAACGAUUUGUAUUUCGUACCGAACUUAAUUG